AGUCCAUGGUGAGGACACCUUCUCAACAAAUCUUUAAACCUCUCCAAUGUAUCACAAAGUAUCUCAAUAUCUAACUGAACAAAAGAAGAGAUGUCAUUAGUCAACUU
Gossypium raimondii (Peruvian cotton) is the source of this 107-nucleotide non-coding RNA. The record is from Rfam. NCBI's taxonomy places the organism in Eukaryota, Viridiplantae, Streptophyta, Magnoliopsida, Malvales, Malvaceae.